Molecule: ribosomal RNA, 641 nt
Filed under: Hahnia ngai
Lineage: Eukaryota; Metazoa; Arthropoda; Arachnida; Araneae; Hahniidae
Description: SSU rRNA
Rfam family: Eukaryotic small subunit ribosomal RNA
Source: RNAcentral
CUUAAAGGAAUUGGCGGAAGGGCACAACCAGAAAUGGAGCAUGCGGCUUAAUUUGACUCAACACGGGAAAGCUUACCCGGCCCGGAUGCAGGAAGGAUUGACAGAUUAAGAGCUCUUUCUUGAUUCUGCAGGUUGUGGUGCAUGGCCGUUCUUCGAUGGUGGAGCGAUUUGUCUGCUUAAUUGCGUUAACGAUCGAGACCCUAGCCUACUAAAUAGACGCCCCGGUCCUACACGCCGGGCGGUCUUCUUAGAGGGACAAGCGGCGUCUAGCCGCACGAGACAGGGCAAUAACAGGUCUUGAAUGCCCUUAGAUGUCCGGGGCCGCACGCGCGCUACAUUGAAGGGGACAGCGUGUGCUUUCCCGCCCUGACAAGGGUGGGUAACCCGUUGAAACCCCUUCGUGCUGGGGAUUGCCCUUUGUAAUUCUCGGGCAUGAACGAGGAAUUCCCAGUAAGCGUGGGUCAUCAGCCCGCGUUGACUAAGUCCCUGCCCUUUGCACACACCGCCCGUCGCUGCUAUCGAUGAAUGCUUUAGUGAGGUCUUCGGACUGGCGCCCGGUGUGGUCUCAGGAUCGUGCCGUGUGCCGGAAAGAUGAUCGAACUUGAACAUUUAGAGAAAGCAAAAGUCGUAACAAGGUUGCC